CUGGGAAAUAUUUACGGUGUGUGGUUUAUUAGUGCAAUAUAUUUACUCUAUUCUCGUCCGCUGCGCCCCAACAAGUCACGCCUCCACUGUAACACAUGAUCACCGGCGGUAACUUGCUCUGUUUUACACAUUCAGAUUCCAGAGCACGAAUCUGGAAAAUCUGUUCAUGUUUUCUUCAUGAGCAUGGUGCAUGGAUCUCUUCACUGUAUUCACAAAUAUGAAUCUGGGAAAUUUAAUUUGUGCAUGUUUUGUUCAUGGGAAAACCCAAAAUCAAGGUGUGAAGGUUCAAAUCGGAAAGUUGUAGUAAGUUGAUUUGUUGGGAGGGUGUUCAAGAUUCUUCGUUUUAUGUUAUUGUACAAGAGCUUUCGGAAGAAAAUGAGGUUUGAACCGUGUAUACUAGUAUUGUACGACCAAUUGAUUGACCAUUAUGAUUCAAAACAAAAACUUAUUGAUGGUUAAAGGCUUUUAUAUCAUUAAGAAAACAUUGCUUCGUUAUAUACAACUCAAGCUAUUUGGGGAAUAUUCUAAGAUUGCUUUUAAUAUUAUUUAUUAAUAAACACUUUAUUUAUUGCGUUA
RNAcentral lists this long non-coding RNA (576 nucleotides) under Linum usitatissimum (flax). RNAcentral's name for it is "long non-coding RNA (LUSI_LNC002830)". Lineage: Eukaryota; Viridiplantae; Streptophyta; Magnoliopsida; Malpighiales; Linaceae. The record is from RNAcentral.